This is a long non-coding RNA of Anopheles gambiae (African malaria mosquito), 1163 nucleotides long. RefSeq lists it as uncharacterized. The transcript is spliced from 4 exons. Lineage: Eukaryota; Metazoa; Arthropoda; Insecta; Diptera; Culicidae. The record is from RefSeq and is a predicted model, not a curated record.
AUCUAGAAUAUGUGUUGAUCUAGCUGGCAGCACGGUCAUUUCGCAUUACCUUGAUGAAUUGUACAUUUUGCCAUUUGUUUGACGCUAGAAGUUGCAUUUAACUAAGUAAUUGAAGUGGGUGCAAAAGUAAAGCAAAAGGACUUGUAUUAGUAAACGUAUCCCGUUUUGUUGAUUGAGAAAGACACAAAAGCUGUUUUCUAAUAAACUGUCUUUUUGCAUAUCAUGGUGCGUUUUUGAGUGAGAAUGGCGAAGCGACGCUUUUUUUCGUGAAGUGGUAAGAAUUAGGAAAUCACAACAGCCAAAGAGCGACUUCAGUGUGCUCUGAACCGUGGACAUGAGAGUGUGUGUUUGUGUGCUGCGUGAACUAUUUUUCCUGCGUAAAACACUUUCCCGUACUGCACCAUCCGCGGUGUUCUUUUUGCUUUAUCGGAGGACGAAUUUUUAUCAUCUAAUUGUUUCGUUUCAGAUGUGUGCUGCUCUCGCUAGCUGUUCUCCAAACCUCUUCAAAUUGCGACACUGUGUGCACAUGAGUUCAAGGUUCAAUUGAUCCUCGAGCAGAAAGCCAAGCAAAAAAAACUCGGUUUUGCUCUUCGUCUGAUUUGGAGAGCUCACGAAGGGGUUUGGGUUCCAUCUCUAACAACACCCACCGGUCACCAGCACUCAGAGAUCCGCUGAGAUUGAAGCUGACUUUGAAGCUGAGUUGGCGAAACGUCUCAGCCUCCGAAGUAACCCGAAGCCGAAGCGAACCCGAACGGGGUUCGGCAUGAACCUUCGUUUAAUUAGCCCCCUCCCCCUUUUUUUGCCAGGAUUUCUUUCCAAAAUGAUACAGUGCACAGAAUUAUAUCACAACAAUUCUAUUUAUUGAAAUUAAUAACAUUAAUCUAACAUGUUUCACAAAAAUCAAAAACACAUGCACUACGAACACUGGACUGAAUUUCACAUUUACGCACAUUAUUUCAAAACACACUUUCCACACUCACACAGUGAAUAAAAUCACAAAAUCGUCACAACACUUUCUGCUCUUCCUCACUGUUGCGCCUAGUUCCUUUUGCUACAUUGUACGGGCCCAAUACGCCAACACUACGACACAGCCACAGGUUUUGUUAUCUCCGUUCGCCGUGAAACACACAUGAAAUGGAAGAAAAAUGAUAUUAAUUAGAAAA